UAGGGAAUCUUCGGCAAUGGGGGCAACCCUGACCGAGCAACGCCGCGUGAGUGAAGAAGGUUUUCGGAUCGUAAAGCUCUGUUGUAAGUCAAGAACGAGUGUGAGAGUGGAAAGUUCACACUGUGACGGUAGCUUACCAGAAAGGGACGGCUAACUACGUGCCAGCAGCCGCGGUAAUACGUAGGUCCCGAGCGUUGUCCGGAUUUAUUGGGCGUAAAGCGAGCGCAGGCGGUUUGAUAAGUCUGAAGUUAAAGGCUGUGGCUCAACCAUAGUUCGCUUUGGAAACUGUCAAACUUGAGUGCAGAAGGGGAGAGUGGAAUUCCAUGUGUAGCGGUGAAAUGCGUAGAUAUAUGGAGGAACACCGGUGGCGAAAGCGGCUCUCUGGUCUGUAACUGACGCUGAGGCUCGAAAGCGUGGGGAGCGAACAGGAUUAGAUACCCUGGUAGUCCACGCCGUNNNGAUGAGUGCUAGGUGUUGGAUCCUUUCCGGGAUUCAGUGNCGCAGCUAANNCANUAANCACUCCGCCUGGGGANUACNACCGCANGGUUG
This 549-nucleotide ribosomal RNA is filed under the name uncultured bacterium. RNAcentral's name for it is "partial 16S ribosomal RNA". It matches the Rfam family "Bacterial small subunit ribosomal RNA", at positions 355 to 896 of the family's 1533-position model. The record is from RNAcentral.